This 210-nucleotide unclassified non-coding RNA is filed under the name Hevea brasiliensis (rubber tree). Lineage: Eukaryota; Viridiplantae; Streptophyta; Magnoliopsida; Malpighiales; Euphorbiaceae. The record is from RNAcentral.
GGAAGAGAUUGUGAAGUUAGGGAGAGAACCCUGAUCUCCUUAUUACAUAAUAUCAGAAGCUGGGCUACUGACCAAACAUGACUUUGAGAGUUACCCAGCCCAAGGAAGGCGAUCUUAUUAACAAAACUUAAUUGGUAUAAUUUUCCAUUUCAAGUGACAUUCACCACGCCUAUAUUUUUAGCCGUUCAUUUGCCUUCUUCUUGUUCAGGC